Cygnus olor (mute swan) is the source of this 505-nucleotide long non-coding RNA. RefSeq lists it as uncharacterized. The transcript has 3 exons. Lineage: Eukaryota; Metazoa; Chordata; Aves; Anseriformes; Anatidae. The record is from RefSeq and is a predicted model, not a curated record.
UUUAGUGACUGUAGUAACAAAAAGAAAUAUACAAUAACCCAUCACUUAAAAAUAGUUUCACGUUAUCUUUGUGAAAGAUUAAAGCAUUUCUAUUCAUCUAAGAGAUUUUUAGAUAUACGUAAGCAUCCAGAUGGAUAGGACUCACUAAGGAGAUCAUGAUGAAUUGUAAUCCAAGUGUUUUAACAUAAUUUAGGAAGAUUAAUUGAUCAAUUACAGUGUGUUUAUGGAAAAUCAACACCAAAUUGGUGGAAGGAUGAAAAAUGUAUGUAGGAGGAUGGGGCCAAUUCUGUAUGCUGUAAAGAAUAAAAGACAGUAUUAAUGCAUUGCAAGCAACCACUCUAAAUAAUGGAGGUUAAUAUUACAUUGUUUUGACUAAUGGAGAAUUUAUUGCUUAUACAUUAAAUCUACUUUUAUUUACACUCCUAAACUAUGCUCAAAGACAAGGGACAUAACAGUAACAGGAAGAAACAUGAUAUUGAAAGUAAUAUUAUGAAAUGAGUGAAUG